Molecule: microRNA precursor, 59 nt
Organism: Monodelphis domestica (gray short-tailed opossum)
Lineage: Eukaryota; Metazoa; Chordata; Mammalia; Didelphimorphia; Didelphidae
Source: Ensembl
CAAAAGUCUUAGAGCAGUAUUAAGAUUUUAUAACUUAAAAUUGCACUGAGGCUUUUGGG